UUUUUUUUUUAAAUAAAACCCCAGAUUAUUGCUUCAAAACACAAGUAAAUGUGGAAAUACAUGUAUAACUAACUUCUACUCUAAGCUGAUGGAUAUCAUGAGGAGAGUGAUAGAUUCCAAGUCAAAUCAACUA
Ipomoea nil (Japanese morning glory) is the source of this 133-nucleotide long non-coding RNA. RefSeq lists it as uncharacterized. The record is from RefSeq and is a predicted model, not a curated record. NCBI's taxonomy places the organism in Eukaryota, Viridiplantae, Streptophyta, Magnoliopsida, Solanales, Convolvulaceae. The transcript has 3 exons.